RNAcentral lists this ribosomal RNA (973 nucleotides) under Entomortierella beljakovae. RNAcentral's name for it is "eukaryotic LSU rRNA". It matches the Rfam family "Eukaryotic large subunit ribosomal RNA", at positions 92 to 926 of the family's 3401-position model. The record is from RNAcentral. Lineage: Eukaryota; Fungi; Mortierellomycota; Mortierellomycetes; Mortierellales; Mortierellaceae.
AGUGAAGCGGGAUGAGCUCAAAUUUAAAAUCUGGCUGGUUUACUAGUCCGAAUUGUAGUUUAAAGAAGCGUUUUCGGUGGCAGCCUGGGUAUAAAUCCUUUGGAAUAGGGUAUCAUAGAGGGUGAGAAUCCCGUCUUUGACUCAGUGCAUGCUACUAUGUGAUACGUUUUCAAAGAGUCGAGUUGUUUGGGAAUGCAGCUCAAAAUGGGUGGUAAAUUUCAUCUAAAGCUAAAUAUUGGCGAGAGACCGAUAGCGAACAAGUACCGUGAGGGAAAGAUGAAAAGAACUUUGAAAAGAGAGUUAAAUAGUGCGUGAAAUUGUUGAAAGGGAAACGUUUGACACCAGUCAUGCGGGUGGAAAAUCAGUCUUUUGGGGUGGGGAGUGGUAGGAGUUCAGACCGCAAGGCUGGCUUUUGCUUCAUCUCUGUCCUAAAGGAUGCACUUUUUCAUCUGCAGGUCAACAUCAGUUUCUUCUGCUGGACAAAACUCCGAGAGAAGGUAGCAGCUUAGGCUGUGUUAUAGCUCUGGAGCGAUACAGUGGAGGGGACUGAGGUUUUCGCAGUGUGUGCUCUCGGGCAAGGUCGACUGGGUGCUAUGUGAUCGUUCGGUGUACAAUGCAUGCAUUUUGCGCUGUGUCUUUUGCAUACUCGCCUGAAUCGACUCUUCCACGCUUAGGAUGUUGACUUAAUGGUUUUAAACGACCCGUCUUGAAACACGGACCAAGGAGUCUAACAUAUAUGCAAGUGUUUGGGUGGCAAACCCAUACGCGUAAUGAAAGUGAACGUAGGUGCGAUCCGCAAGGUGCAGCAUCGACCGAUCUUGAUAUUUUUGGAUAGAUUUGAGUAAGAGCAUAUAUGCUGGGACCCGAAAGAUGGUGAACUAUGCCUGAAUAGGGUGAAGCCAGAGGAAACUCUGGUGGAGGCUCGUAGCGAUUCUGACGUGCAAAUCGAUCGUCAAAUUUGGGUAUAGGGCGA